This 632-nucleotide non-coding RNA is filed under the name Pongo abelii (Sumatran orangutan). Lineage: Eukaryota; Metazoa; Chordata; Mammalia; Primates; Hominidae. The record is from RNAcentral.
AGUAGAAAAUGGAGGACAAUAAAGUUUAUUUACAUGUUCUACCCUCUACUGAAGUAUGGCUGGACAGACAACUUCAAAGUUUUUUCAGCUUAUGAAGAAAUGGCCUUCUUGGACUUAAGAAACAGAAAAAAGCUGGGCAUGGUGGUUCACGCCUAUAAUCCCAGCACUUUGGGAGGCUGGAGGAAGAUCACUUAAGGUUAGGAGUUUAAGACCAGCCUGGCCAACAUAGUGAGACCCUGUCUCUAAAAUAAAGAUUUAAAAAGAAAAGAGAAUAAAAGUUUCUCCUGACACAAGUUUAAUGACGGUCACAAUGGUCUUACAAAGCUUUAACUUCAGAAUAAAAACUCCUUUCACAAUCAAAGAAUGCUUUCCAGCGAAGAACAUUUAUUUUAUCAGUAAUGAGGAAAAAAUACAACUGAUCAAAACCUCUUUGAGAAAGAAACCCAAACCUUUCGGGUGACCGUGAUCUUGUUCGUCUUUUUUUGCGAUCACCAGAUGAAGAAGAUCUAGAACGACUUCUCUUUCUGUUCCUCUCAGGAGAAGAUGAUGAACUUGAAUAAGAUCUUUUUCGUGGGGAAGAAGAGCCCCUGUGGGACCUGGAGCUGGAUCUUCAUUGAUUGAGAAACAAAUCA